This 442-nucleotide ribosomal RNA is filed under the name uncultured bacterium. RNAcentral's name for it is "partial 16S ribosomal RNA". It matches the Rfam family "Bacterial small subunit ribosomal RNA", at positions 338 to 795 of the family's 1533-position model. The record is from RNAcentral.
CCUACGGGUGGCAGCAGUGGGGAAUAUUGGGCAAUGGGCGCAAGCCUGACGCAGCAACGCCGCGUGAAGGAAGACGGCUUUCGGGUUGUAAACUUCUUUUGACAGGGAAGAGUAGAAGACGGUACCUGUCGAAUAAGCCACGGCUAACUACGUGCCAGCAGCCGCGGUAAUACGUAGGUGGCAAGCGUUGUCCGGAUUUACUGGGUGUAAAGGGCGUGUAGCCGGGUUGACAAGUCAGAUGUGAAAUCCUGCGGCUUAACCGCAGAACUGCAUUUGAAACUGUUGAUCUUGAGUACUGGAGAGGCAGACGGAAUUCCUAGUGUAGCGGUGAAAUGCGUAGAGAUCGGGAGGAACACCAGUGGCGAAGGCGGCCUACUGGGCUUUAACUGACGCUGAGGCACGAAAGCGUGGGUAGCAAACAGGAUUAGAUACCCUUGUAGUC